ACGAGUAACUGCAAUAAGAUUGAACAUGGAAACAAUUAAAGUUCUGACAGGAUGACCAAAUACACUUGUCAUUGCCUGCAUAUUUUCUGUUGAUAUUUAGUAAAAAAAACUGCUUAUUUCAACUACACAAAAUAAAAGAAGACGGAUGAAGAGGAAGAGGAAGAGGAAGAGGAAGUGGGACCAGGAAGACGAGGAGGGAGAAAGGAGAAAAAAAUUUCAACAAGGAGAAGAGAUUUCCAGAUGAAGAGUAAUUUGCAUCGCGAUCAAAGAAUGGUGCCCUUGUGCACGGGCUUUUGGAUCUUGCAAGGGAGUUGGGUAUAAAUUCGUUAUGGGCGGAAAGUGACUCUGCAACUGUGAUGGUUUUUGUUUCCUUCAAGGUUGUUCCUUCUUGAGUAUGCCAAGAUUGGUCAUCUCUUCAGUUGAACUUGGCAACCAUAGAGUGGAACCUAUCGUUUUCAAAAGGCAAACUCAAUUGCGGAUUAUCUCUCUAAACCAACUGCAAAAAGUAGUUUGUCUACUUCUUUGCAUGUUUUCCCUAUUCAAUGUUGUAGGAGCUUGCUAUCAAUGCUAUGAGUAGCCGGAGAUUUUGUUUUC
This is a long non-coding RNA of Macadamia integrifolia, 594 nucleotides long. RefSeq lists it as uncharacterized. The record is from RefSeq and is a predicted model, not a curated record. Lineage: Eukaryota; Viridiplantae; Streptophyta; Magnoliopsida; Proteales; Proteaceae. The transcript is spliced from 2 exons.